This 30-nucleotide non-coding RNA is filed under the name Rattus norvegicus (Norway rat). The record is from RNAcentral. Lineage: Eukaryota; Metazoa; Chordata; Mammalia; Rodentia; Muridae.
UAAGACUCAAAGAAAGAUAGAGUUAAAGCA